RNAcentral lists this ribosomal RNA (435 nucleotides) under uncultured bacterium. RNAcentral's name for it is "partial 16S ribosomal RNA". It matches the Rfam family "Bacterial small subunit ribosomal RNA", at positions 29 to 507 of the family's 1533-position model. The record is from RNAcentral.
AGCGAACGCUGGCGGCAGGCUUAACACAUGCAAGUCGAACGGGCAUCUUCGGAUGUCAGUGGCAGACGGGUGAGUAACACGUGGGAACGUACCCUUCGGUUCGGAAUAACUCAGGGAAACUUGAGCUAAUACCGGAUACGCCCUUUUGGGGAAAGGUUUACUGCCGAAGGAUCGGCCCGCGUCUGAUUAGCUUGUUGGUGGGGUAACGGCCUACCAAGGCGACGAUCAGUAGCUGGUCUGAGAGGAUGAUCAGCCACAUUGGGACUGAGACACGGCCCAGACUCCUACGGGAGGCAGCAGUGGGGAAUAUUGGACAAUGGGCGCAAGCCUGAUCCAGCCAUGCCGCGUGAGUGAUGAAGGCCUUAGGGUUGUAAAGCUCUUUUGUCCGGGACGAUAAUGACGGUACCGGAAGAAUAAGCCCCGGCUAACUUCGUG